GAUUUUUUAUCCAUAUUCUAUCUACUGCACUACAUUUUUGAGGUAGGCAAUACAAAACUCUAUGUCUCACUAUGUGCUGAAUACUAUUCAUAGUAUAGUGUAUGCUAGUUACUUGUUGCUGCCAACUAGCUGUAUUUCUCACCAUCCAGACAUGGUAACUGGUAAGCAAGGCAUGUACAGAGGCAAUCAAAACUUCUUUUCUUGUCUUCAAACCCUUGUAAGACCUUGUUAUCCACAUAAGCCAUUGAGGAACUGUUCUCUUUCAAUAAUUGACUCCUAUCCAAUUCAGAAUUUGUGUCAUGACUUGCUUGCUACAGACACAUUCAAAGAAAAGAUGCGAGUGUGUUUCAUCAGCAAAUCCACAAAUGCAACAUGUGCUAUUCUGGCUAACCCCACUUCUAAAUAAUCCCUCUUUUGUCUGCAGUCUGCCUUGAACACCUAGCCAAGAUAUGACUAUGUGUUUAGGUACAACCAUUCUAUGCCAAACUCCAUGCACUCAUUUCACUUCAUCUACCUAAUUAAUGAGAAUCUGAUAGACAACAUUUAUCGAGUACUUUGUAUCCUUUUACCAUGUCCGCACAUUAAUCACCCCCAAAGCAUUCUUCACUUUACAAAUUUGCUUCACAAUCCAGCUAGCAUUGGAUGGGGCACUGAAACUUCAAAUUGUUUUGCUGCAGCCCGAAAUAACCAUUGAAAGAAAAUGGCAGAGAUUCUUCUACGCAGAUCUUCUUCGCUUUCUAGGGUUCUAUGACGGAGAUUUGUCGAAUGCAGUGCGUAGCCCCGAGAUUGGAGAGCAGAAAAAACGGUCCCAAAGGGUGUAAUGAUCAUGUAAAAUGAAGUCCCAGUUAUGUCAAAAAGUUCGCAAUAAAUAGUCAACAAAAGUCAACAGAUAAAUGAUUCAGGAAAGAGAAGCCCAACUGCUAACACUGAUCAAGAGAUAAUUGAUGAAAGUCAAGCGAUGCUAAAAAUGAAGAAGUGGAUGGAAGUUAAUCUGACUACAAAGGCAUGCAAGAACGUGGGUAAUGGGACGUGACUAUCAUGGUGCUAGAAAAUGGCAGUUAUGAUUUGAAUCAUAAAUGAUUCAAAUCACUUCCCUCCAAGGAGCAAGGAAUUUAUACAUGCAUCCGUAGUAUAAAUACAAGAAGGAACAUCAGAAAAGAACAACAAACGUGCAAUUUACUUUCUACUACCGUAGCUUUACAUAGAUUAGUCAACCCCCUUCCAGGGUUAUAGCUAGCCUCUAGUUUAGAAUUAGGGCAUGUACUGAGUUACCAAGUUUGUUCAAUCUCCAAUUUAAGUCGAAAUCUAUGGAGGUAUUCAUCUUCAUGUUUGUCCUUUAAUUGUCCAGUCUGGUUUAUCCCUAUGUGUGUUAUAGAAUCCUUUUAGAAGUUUGUGAUGUAAGUGGGAAUAUUCAGCUUUAAUUAAUAGAUUAAUUAUUGCAUUUAUUAUCU
This is a long non-coding RNA of Beta vulgaris subsp. vulgaris (sugar beet), 1451 nucleotides long. RefSeq lists it as uncharacterized. The record is from RefSeq and is a predicted model, not a curated record. Lineage: Eukaryota; Viridiplantae; Streptophyta; Magnoliopsida; Caryophyllales; Amaranthaceae. The transcript has 2 exons.